GUCUUGCCUGCUCAUGAUUUUUAAAUUGCCGCAGUAUUCUGACUGUGCAAAGGUAGCAUAAUCAUUAGUUUCUUGAUUGGAAGCUGGAAUGAAAGGUUUGAUGAAAAACUAACUGUCUCUUUUUGAUUUAGUAGAAUUUUACUUUUAAGUAAAAAGGCUUAAAUUUUGUAAAAAGACGAGAAGACCCUAUAGAGUUUUAUUGUUUGGCUUGCUAUAUUUGUAAGUUACAUGAUUAUUUAGUUUUUCAGCUAUUUUGUUGGGGUGAUAAAAAAAUUGGUUUAACUUUUUUUUAUUGUAACAAUAAUUUUUGAAUUUUUGAUCCUUUUGGAUUACGAGAAUAAAUUACCUUAGGGAUAACAGCGUUAUUUUUCCUGAAAGUUCUUAUUGAUGGGGAAUUUUGCGACCUCGAU
This 410-nucleotide ribosomal RNA is filed under the name Falsocamaria microdera. RNAcentral describes it as "partial large subunit ribosomal RNA". It matches the Rfam family "Archaeal large subunit ribosomal RNA", at positions 1979 to 2599 of the family's 2987-position model. Lineage: Eukaryota; Metazoa; Arthropoda; Insecta; Coleoptera; Tenebrionidae. The record is from RNAcentral.